RNAcentral lists this long non-coding RNA (381 nucleotides) under Gallus gallus (chicken). RNAcentral's name for it is "lncRNA (ENSGALG00010006829.1)". Lineage: Eukaryota; Metazoa; Chordata; Aves; Galliformes; Phasianidae. The record is from RNAcentral.
CUAGUAUAGUGUUUUCUUAACAUGAACUUUUUUCCCUCUUUUUUUUCCCUUUUUUCUUUUUGCAACUUUGUUAGUGGGCUAAUCUUGUUCUUGAAACUGCUGGAAAUCUUGAAGAUAACUGUAUUCCUACAGUUUUUUUUUGUGGAAAUCAGUUGCUAAGAAGAGACGCAAAGUAAUACUUUCAUAAAGAAGAGACAGGAAGCCAGAAGCGUCUACACAUUUUAUCUCAUCUGCAAUGUUCUUUCUUUUACAAAGCCUUUCCAAAAUGGAAUUAAGCUCUGGAGGAACUGUCCAUUCUCAAGUGUACCAGUGUGCUUGGAUGGGGCUCUUUGUCACUGUGGUUUGCUUUUGUAUGGUAUCAUUCUCAUCUGUCAAAGUCUC